Molecule: ribosomal RNA, 1221 nt
Filed under: Triticum aestivum (bread wheat)
Lineage: Eukaryota; Viridiplantae; Streptophyta; Magnoliopsida; Poales; Poaceae
Description: partial small subunit ribosomal RNA
Source: RNAcentral
AUGUCAUCUUCCUCCUCUCCUCACGCCAUGGCCAUGCCCUCGCUUGCCUCCCUCGGCCACACCAUCACGGAGAAGCUUACCCGUGACAACUUCCUGAUAUGGAAGGUUCAAGUCCUUCCGCACGUCAGGGCCGCGGCGAUGACAGGCUACCUUGAUGGCACGAUCAAGGAGCCUGCUGCUGUCAUCGUCACCGAGAAGGAGACCAACGGCAAGAAGGAGAUCGUCGAGACGCCCAAUCCGGAGCAUGCGAUCUGGGUCACCCAAGAUCAACAGGUGCUCACGUUUUUGCUUGCGUCCCUGUCUCGUGAAGUCUUGAUGCAGGUGUCCAAUCACACCACGGCCGCGGGCGUCUGGCAGGCUCUGGUCGAGAGUUUCUCCGUGCAGUCCAGAGCACGACAGAUUCAACUCCGUUCGGCGAUCGGCAACGCCCGCAAGGGCGAUCUCUCCGCUUCUGCUUACUUCACGAAGAUGAAGGGACUUGCAGACGAGCUUGCUGCUGCAGGGAAGCCCCUCGAGGAGGAUGAUAUCGUCUCGCACAUCCUCGAGGGUCUUAUGCAUGAGCCCGACUACAACGGGUUCGUUACCUCCAUCUCCACGCGUGCUGCCACCGAUCGGCCGAUCGGUCUCAAUGAACUUUUCUCGCUGCUGCUCUCUGCUGAGGCCCGGAUCACCGCCCAGCAGGCCGCCUACACCGCUCACCACUCCGCCAACCUUGCUGCAAAAGGUGGGCGCGGUGGCUACGGCGGUGGACGCGGUGGUCAGGGUGGUGGACGCGGCGGCUACGGCGGCGGUAACUACCACGACAACUCAAACAACGGCGGUGGCGGCGGUACACCGCGCCAGAACAAUGGUGACCGCGGCGACCGCGGUGACCGUGAGCGGUGCCAAAUCUGCAAGGAGGAGGGCCAUGGUGCGUGGCGCUGCAGAAAGCGGUACGACAAGGGCUUCAACAACAACGUACGCAAUCCUGCAGGCGGUGGCGGUGGUGGACGCGGCAGUGGUGGGCGCGGCGGCGGCGGCGGUAAUGGAAACCAGCGCUCCGCCAACUCUGCUCACUCCUACGGCGUGGAUACCAACUGGUAUCUCGACACUGGCGCCACAGAUCAUGUUACCGGCGAGUUGGAGAAGCUAGCUGUGCGUGAUCGCUACACCGGCACGGACCAAAUCCAUACGGCAAGUGGGCAAGGCUACCCGGAGAACAAUUCUGCAAAACAAGAGUAG